UUAAGCGACUAAGCGUACACGGUGGAUGCCCUGGCAGUCAGAGGCGAUGAAGGACGUGCUAAUCUGCGAUAAGCGUCGGUAAGGUGAUAUGAACCGUUAUAACCGGCGAUUUCCGAAUGGGGAAACCCAGUGUGUUUCGACACACUAUCAUUAACUGAAUCCAUAGGUUAAUGAGGCGAACCGGGGGAACUGAAACAUCUAAGUACCCCGAGGAAAAGAAAUCAACCGAGAUUCCCCCAGUAGCGGCGAGCGAACGGGGAGCAGCCCAGAGCCUGAAUCAGUGUGUGUGUUAGUGGAAGCGUCUGGAAAGGCGCGCGAUACAGGGUGACAGCCCCGUACACAAAAAUGCACAUGCUGUGAGCUCGAUGAGUAGGGCGGGACACGUGGUAUCCUGUCUGAAUAUGGGGGGACCAUCCUCCAAGGCUAAAUACUCCUGACUGACCGAUAGUGAACCAGUACCGUGAGGGAAAGGCGAAAAGAACCCCGGCGAGGGGAGUGAAAAAGAACCUGAAACCGUGUACGUACAAGCAGUGGGAGCACGCUUAGGCGUGUGACUGCGUACCUUUUGUAUAAUGGGUCAGCGACUUAUAUUCUGUAGCAAGGUUAACCGAAUAGGGGAGCCGAAGGGAAACCGAGUCUUAACUGGGCGUUAAGUUGCAGGAUAUAGACCCGAAACCCGGUGAUCUAGCCAUGGGCAGGUUGAAGGUUGGGUAACACUAACUGGAGGACCGAACCGACUAAUGUUGAAAAAUUAGCGGAUGACUUGUGGCUGGGGGGGAAAGGCCAAUCAAACCGGGAGAUAGCUGGUUCUCCCCGAAAGCUAUUUAGGUAGCGCCUCGUGAAUUCAUCUCCGGGGGUAGAGCACUGUUUCGGCAAGGGGGUCAUCCCGACUUACCAACCCGAUGCAAACUGCGAAUACCGGAGAAUGUUAUCACGGGAGACACACGGCGGGUGCUAACGUCCGUCGUGAAGAGGGAAACAACCCAGACCGCCAGCUAAGGUCCCAAAGUCAUGGUUAAGUGGGAAACGAUGUGGGAAGGCCCAGACAGCCAGGAUGUUGGCUUAGAAGCAGCCAUCAUUUAAAGAAAGCGUAAUAGCUCACUGGUCGAGUCGGCCUGCGCGGAAGAUGUAACGGGGCUAAACCAUGCACCGAAGCUGCGGCAGCGACGCUUAUGCGUUGUUGGGUAGGGGAGCGUUCUGUAAGCCUGCGAAGGUGUGCUGUGAGGCAUGCUGGAGGUAUCAGAAGUGCGAAUGCUGACAUAAGUAACGAUAAAGCGGGUGAAAAGCCCGCUCGCCGGAAGACCAAGGGUUCCUGUCCAACGUUAAUCGGGGCAGGGUGAGUCGACCCCUAAGGCGAGGCCGAAAGGCGUAGUCGAUGGGAAACAGGUUAAUAUUCCUGUACUUGGUGUUACUGCGAAGGGGGGACGGAGAAGGCUAUGUUGGCCGGGCGACGGUUGUCCCGGUUUAAGCGUGUAGGCUGGUUUUCCAGGCAAAUCCGGAAAAUCAAGGCUGAGGCGUGAUGACGAGGCACUACGGUGCUGAAGCAACAAAUGCCCUGCUUCCAGGAAAAGCCUCUAAGCAUCAGGUAACAUCAAAUCGUACCCCAAACCGACACAGGUGGUCAGGUAGAGAAUACCAAGGCGCUUGAGAGAACUCGGGUGAAGGAACUAGGCAAAAUGGUGCCGUAACUUCGGGAGAAGGCACGCUGAUAUGUAGGUGAAGCGACUUGCUCGUGGAGCUGAAAUCAGUCGAAGAUACCAGCUGGCUGCAACUGUUUAUUAAAAACACAGCACUGUGCAAACACGAAAGUGGACGUAUACGGUGUGACGCCUGCCCGGUGCCGGAAGGUUAAUUGAUGGGGUUAGCGCAAGCGAAGCUCUUGAUCGAAGCCCCGGUAAACGGCGGCCGUAACUAUAACGGUCCUAAGGUAGCGAAAUUCCUUGUCGGGUAAGUUCCGACCUGCACGAAUGGCGUAAUGAUGGCCAGGCUGUCUCCACCCGAGACUCAGUGAAAUUGAACUCGCUGUGAAGAUGCAGUGUACCCGCGGCAAGACGGAAAGACCCCGUGAACCUUUACUAUAGCUUGACACUGAACAUUGAGCCUUGAUGUGUAGGAUAGGUGGGAGGCUUUGAAGUGUGGACGCCAGUCUGCAUGGAGCCGACCUUGAAAUACCACCCUUUAAUGUUUGAUGUUCUAACGUUGACCCGUAAUCCGGGUUGCGGACAGUGUCUGGUGGGUAGUUUGACUGGGGCGGUCUCCUCCUAAAGAGUAACGGAGGAGCACGAAGGUUGGCUAAUCCUGGUCGGACAUCAGGAGGUUAGUGCAAUGGCAUAAGCCAGCUUGACUGCGAGCGUGACGGCGCGAGCAGGUGCGAAAGCAGGUCAUAGUGAUCCGGUGGUUCUGAAUGGAAGGGCCAUCGCUCAACGGAUAAAAGGUACUCCGGGGAUAACAGGCUGAUACCGCCCAAGAGUUCAUAUCGACGGCGGUGUUUGGCACCUCGAUGUCGGCUCAUCACAUCCUGGGGCUGAAGUAGGUCCCAAGGGUAUGGCUGUUCGCCAUUUAAAGUGGUACGCGAGCUGGGUUUAGAACGUCGUGAGACAGUUCGGUCCCUAUCUGCCGUGGGCGCUGGAGAACUGAGGGGGGCUGCUCCUAGUACGAGAGGACCGGAGUGGACGCAUCACUGGUGUUCGGGUUGUCAUGCCAAUGGCACUGCCCGGUAGCUAAAUGCGGAAGAGAUAAGUGCUGAAAGCAUCUAAGCACGAAACUUGCCCCGAGAUGAGUUCUCCCUGACCCUUUAAGGGUCCUGAAGGAACGUUGAAGACGACGACGUUGAUAGGCCGGGUGUGUAAGCGCAGCGAUGCGUUGAGCUAACCGGUACUAAUGAACCGUGAGGCUUAACCUU
RNAcentral lists this ribosomal RNA (2902 nucleotides) under soil metagenome. RNAcentral describes it as "bacterial LSU rRNA". It matches the Rfam family "Bacterial large subunit ribosomal RNA". The record is from RNAcentral.